UACGGAGGGUGCAAGCGUUGUUCGGAAUUAUUGGGCGUAAAGCGCGCGCAGGCGGCCGGGUAAGUCCAGGGGUGAAAUGCCGGAGCUCAACUCCGUGCGUGCCCCGGAUACUGCCGGGCUGGAGACACGUAGAGGCAAGCGGAAUUUCGGGUGUAGCGGUGGAAUGCGUAGAGAUCCGAAAGAACACCGGAGGCGAAGGCGGCUUGCUGGGCGUGAUCUGACGCUGAGGCGCGAAAGCGUGGGGAGCGAACAGG
RNAcentral lists this ribosomal RNA (254 nucleotides) under uncultured bacterium. Its description in RNAcentral is "partial 16S ribosomal RNA". It matches the Rfam family "Bacterial small subunit ribosomal RNA", at positions 524 to 776 of the family's 1533-position model. The record is from RNAcentral.